RNAcentral lists this ribosomal RNA (443 nucleotides) under uncultured bacterium. Its description in RNAcentral is "partial 16S ribosomal RNA". It matches the Rfam family "Bacterial small subunit ribosomal RNA", at positions 338 to 795 of the family's 1533-position model. The record is from RNAcentral.
CCUACGGGUGGCAGCAGUGGGGAAUAUUGGGCAAUGGGCGCAAGCCUGACCCAGCAACGCCGCGUGAAGGAAGAAGGCUUUCGGGUUGUAAACUUCUUUUCUGAGGGACGAAGAAAGUGACGGUACCUCAGGAAUAAGCCACGGCUAACUACGUGCCAGCGGCCGCGGGAAUACGUAGGUGGCAAGCGUUAUCCGGAUUUAUUGGGUGUAAGGGGCGUGGAGGCGGGAAAGUAAGUCAGAUGUGAAAACUCAGGGCUCAACCCUGAGCCUGCAUUUGAAACUGUUUUUCUUGAGUGCGGGAGAGGCAAGCGGAAUUCCGUGUGUAGCGGUGAAAUGCGUAGAUAUACGGAGGAACACCAGUGGCGAAGGCGGAUUGCUGGACAGUAACUGACGCUGAGGCGCGAAAGCGUGGGGAGCAAACAGGAUUAGAUACCCCAGUAGUC